This 395-nucleotide ribosomal RNA is filed under the name uncultured bacterium. RNAcentral's name for it is "partial 16S ribosomal RNA". It matches the Rfam family "Bacterial small subunit ribosomal RNA", at positions 523 to 918 of the family's 1533-position model. The record is from RNAcentral.
AUACGUAGGGUGCAAGCGUUAAUCGGAAUUACUGGGCGUAAAGCGUGCGCAGGCGGUUUUGUAAGACCGAGGUGAAAUCCCCGGGCUCAACCUGGGAACUGCCUUUGUGACUGCAAGGCUAGAGUACGGCAGAGGGGGAUGGAAUUCCGCGUGGAGUAGUGAAAAGCGUAGAUAUUCGGAGGAACACCGAUGGCGAAGGCAAUCCCCUGGGCCUGUAAUGACGCUCAUGCACGAAGGCGUGGGGAGCAAACAGGAGUAGAUACCCUGGUAGUCCACGCCCUAAACGAUGUCAACUGGUUGUUGGGUCUUCAUAGACUCAGUAACGAAGCUAACGCGUGAAGUUGACCGCCUGGGGAGUACGGCCGCAAGGUUGAAACUCAAAGGAAUUGACGGGG